RNAcentral lists this ribosomal RNA (500 nucleotides) under uncultured bacterium. RNAcentral's name for it is "partial 16S ribosomal RNA". It matches the Rfam family "Bacterial small subunit ribosomal RNA", at positions 30 to 523 of the family's 1533-position model. The record is from RNAcentral.
AUUGAACGCUGGCGGCAUGCUUUACACAUGCAAGUCGAACGGCAGCACGGACUUCGGUCUGGUGGCGAGUGGCGAACGGGUGAGUAAUACAUCGGAACGUGCCCAGUUGUGGGGGAUAACUACUCGAAAGAGUAGCUAAUACCGCAUGAGAACUGAGGUUGAAAGCAGGGGAUCGUAAGACCUUGCGCAACUGGAGCGGCCGAUGUCAGAUUAGGUAGUUGGUGGGAUAAAAGCUUACCAAGCCGACGAUCUGUAGCUGGUCUGAGAGGACGACCAGCCACACUGGGACUGAGACACGGCCCAGACUCCUACGGGAGGCAGCAGUGGGGAAUUUUGGACAAUGGGCGAAAGCCUGAUCCAGCAAUGCCGCGUGCAGGAUGAAGGCCUUCGGGUUGUAAACUGCUUUUGUACGGAACGAAAAGCUUCGGGUUAAUACCCUGGAGUCAGGACGGUACCGUAAGAAUAAGCACCGGCUAACUACGUGCCAGCCGCCGCCGUAA